UUACGACCACAUCAUAUUGAAAACACCAGUUCCCAUACGAUCACUGAUAUUAAGUAAUGUCGAGUCUGGUCAGAAUUCAGAUGGGUGACCGGUUGGGAAUAUCAGGUACUGUAAG
This is a non-coding RNA of Acanthosepion pharaonis, 115 nucleotides long. The record is from the annotation of a GenBank genome assembly. Lineage: Eukaryota; Metazoa; Mollusca; Cephalopoda; Sepiida; Sepiidae.